This 254-nucleotide ribosomal RNA is filed under the name uncultured bacterium. RNAcentral describes it as "partial 16S ribosomal RNA". It matches the Rfam family "Bacterial small subunit ribosomal RNA", at positions 524 to 776 of the family's 1533-position model. The record is from RNAcentral.
UACGUAGGGGGCAAGCGUUGUCCGGAUUUAUUGGGCGUAAAGAGCUCGUAGGCGGUCUGUCGCGUCGGUCGUGAAAACCUGCAGCUUAACUGUGGGCGUGCGGUCGAUACGGGCAUGACUGGAGUUCGGCAGGGGAGACUGGAAUUCCUGGUGUAGCGGUGAAAUGCGCAGAUAUCAGGAGGAACACCGGUGGCGAAGGCGGGUCUCUGGGCCGAUACUGACGCUGAGGAGCGAAAGCGUGGGGAGCGAACAGG